Long non-coding RNA from Apus apus (common swift), 228 nucleotides. RefSeq lists it as uncharacterized. The transcript is spliced from 3 exons. Lineage: Eukaryota; Metazoa; Chordata; Aves; Apodiformes; Apodidae. The record is from RefSeq and is a predicted model, not a curated record.
GCAGGUUGGUUGCCCACACUGCCAUUGAAGAGCAAGAGUGAAAAGCCAAACAAGGAAGCAGUUCAUGAUGUAUAGGCAUAGACAGUCAGCACACAGAACCAAAACAGGAUCCAAGUUACUGAGAUCUCCAGAUUACUGAAGAAGAGGAGAGGAAACCUCUGAACAAGGAGGGAAAAGAAGUACCAGCAAGGAGUUGUAGAUGUGGCAAUUUACCAGGUGGAUGAAUGU